CCCAAUUGGUGCCUCCACUCACGCGUUGUCUCCCUCGGUUCCUCUUCCAAUCCAUUCUCGCUGCAAGCACGCAAUCCUGCGACUCCGCCGUCUCCUUCGUCCAGUCGGUCGCCGCCGAUGCAUUGGCCAACUCCUCCACCAACAACGCCCUGUCGUGCUCGGAGCAGCCGUUGCGUCCCCAACUCAACUUCGACCGGUAGAGCUCCAGCCCUCCACCACCGCGCCCCUUCGUCGCGCUUGGGUGGGAACGAGUGCUCAAAAUCUCAUUUGGUAUGACAUUUCAGGUGUGUUGUUCUAGAGGCACUAGAUGCUGAUUUGCUACAAGAACUCCCAGCCUAACGAGGCUCGGCCUAGGUUGUGUCACCAUUGUUGCCGCUAUAGUGUAAUGGUGUCCGCUUGGACGAGGAGGCAGAAAACUGCAUUGGAUGUUUGAGGCAAGGUGGUAGUUCACUAUGGAUGCAUGCAUGGAUGGGACAUGUAAAGACUUAUAUGACUAAUGAUGAAUUCAUAGUGUCUAAGCGGGUAUUUGAAUUUAUUUGUAUGCUCGGACUUCUGUAAAUACACAGGCUACUAUUUUUUUAUGGAAGCAUAUAUUUAGCUCAGUUGUGAGAUUUGUUGACUGUUCUGAUCUGAAUGGUAUUUUGUUUCUGAUUUUUUUCUUUCAAUAUUGGAACUUAUAAA
Non-coding RNA from Lolium perenne, 681 nucleotides. NCBI's taxonomy places the organism in Eukaryota, Viridiplantae, Streptophyta, Magnoliopsida, Poales, Poaceae. The record is from RefSeq and is a predicted model, not a curated record.